AUACGACCAUAUGGUGUGGAAAACAGGGCUUCCCGUCCGCUCAGCCGUACUUAAGCCACACGCCGGGAGGUUAGUAGUUGGGUGGGUGACCACCAGCGAAUCCCUCCUGUUGUAUG
Molecule: ribosomal RNA, 116 nt
Filed under: Aspergillus flavus
Lineage: Eukaryota; Fungi; Ascomycota; Eurotiomycetes; Eurotiales; Aspergillaceae
Source: RNAcentral